CCCUCCCCUAAAUCACUCCAAAAAAACAAUCCCCAAUUCUACACAAGUGUUUCUACACUAACAAAGCAACAGCUCCUUAACGAAUUCCCAACUUUACACGAGCUCGUCUCUCGAGGUUAAAUGUUAUUACUUGGUAAGAUUCCGGACCUCGCCAAGUGUUUUGAAAACCCGCAACGCUCGCAAAGGUGCAUAGUGAGAAUAAUAAGUGAAGAGACAGACUUGUCCAAAACGCCCACCACGAAGGUGCAUAGUGAGAAGAGUAAGUCAAGAGAUAGACUUGUCCAAAAAGAAACGGAAGAGAAAGCUUGGGAGACGCUCACGAAGGUGCAUAGUGAGAAGAGUAAGUCAAGAGAUAGACUUGUUCAAAAAGAAACAGAAGAGAAUGCUUGGGGUUACACUCACGAAGGUGCAUAGUGAGAAGAGUAAGUCAAGAGACAGACUUGUUCAAAAAGAAACAAAAGAGAAUGCUUGGGGAGAUAGAAGUGUGAGAUAGUUCUCAAGCUAAGAAAGUUGUAAAAGCUAAGAACUAGCAAGUAAUCGUCCAGGAUUCCUCCACCAGGACUUGAAAUCGUCGAGGGAAAAAAAUCGGUUCCGAGGAAUCGUCGAUCCGGACUUGGAAUCGUCGAGAAAAGUUUACCGGGUCCGAGGAUUUGUCGACCAGGAGUGGAAAUCGUCGAGAAAAAUCUAUCGGGUCCGAGGAAUCGUCGACCAGGACGAGGAAUCGUCGACAGGGUCCGAGGAUUUGUCGACCAGGGGUUGAAAUCGUCGACCAGGUCCGAGACUUCAUCGAC
RNAcentral lists this unclassified non-coding RNA (791 nucleotides) under Arabidopsis thaliana (thale cress). Its description in RNAcentral is "3' external transcribed spacer". The record is from RNAcentral. Lineage: Eukaryota; Viridiplantae; Streptophyta; Magnoliopsida; Brassicales; Brassicaceae.